RNAcentral lists this ribosomal RNA (114 nucleotides) under Acanthosepion pharaonis. The record is from RNAcentral. Lineage: Eukaryota; Metazoa; Mollusca; Cephalopoda; Sepiida; Sepiidae.
UUACGGUCAAAUCACGUUGAAACGCCGAUGCUCAUACAACCAUCGAAGUUAAGCAACGUCGAGCCUGGUCAGUACUUAGAUGGGUGACCGCUUGGGAAUACCGGCUGCUGUAUG